RNAcentral lists this non-coding RNA (173 nucleotides) under bovine gut metagenome. Its description in RNAcentral is "malK-I RNA". It matches the Rfam family "malK-I RNA". The record is from RNAcentral. RNAcentral also lists the same sequence under 1 other name.
CCCCGGCCACUCCACACUAAUGGCCGGCAAGCUGUGAAAAAAAGGAGGAUAAAAAAGCCCAGACUCGGGCUGCGGCAGUGUGGAGACCUGUCGCAACGCGGCGCAGUCCAUCGCGGCUGGCCGUGAGUACACAGCAAGCGGAGGCUCUGUGUGCGGAGUCAGAUAACAUGGCA